GGCAGUGUCCUGGAAUCCAUGUACUAUGGGGAGAGAUGGUCCUGGUUUAGAAAAUGAAGGAUUUAGAACAAGACUUAAUUUUUACCUUAAAACUGGGCCACCCUGAUAACAUGUACUCUUUCUCCUACAGGUAAAACCCAUGAGCUGUUUGCUACCUCUCGAAAUAUUUGUUACAUCCACUGACAUAUGCACUGGCACACACAUGUGUACACACACAUGCACAAUUUAUAUAUUGGGCCAGAGACUUCCUGUAUCCCCACAAUGUGUGAACACUUCUGAAUGUAUUUUGAAAUGUGCAUUAAAAUGAAUCAGUGAUGCC
This is a long non-coding RNA of Sapajus apella (tufted capuchin), 319 nucleotides long. RefSeq lists it as uncharacterized. NCBI's taxonomy places the organism in Eukaryota, Metazoa, Chordata, Mammalia, Primates, Cebidae. The record is from RefSeq and is a predicted model, not a curated record. The transcript is spliced from 3 exons.